RNAcentral lists this ribosomal RNA (253 nucleotides) under uncultured bacterium. Its description in RNAcentral is "partial 16S ribosomal RNA". It matches the Rfam family "Bacterial small subunit ribosomal RNA", at positions 524 to 776 of the family's 1533-position model. The record is from RNAcentral.
UACGUAGGGUGCAAGCGUUGUCCGGAAUUAUUGGGCGUAAAGAGCUCGUAGGCGGUCUGUCGCGUCGGCUGUGAAAACCCGAGGCUCAACCUCGGGCCUGCAGUCGAUACGGGCAAACUAGAGUACUGCAGGGGAGACUGGAAUUCCUGGUGUAGCGGUGAAAUGCGUAGAUAUCAGGAGGAACACCCGAGGCGAAGGCGGCUCUCUGGGUCGUACCUGACGCUGAGGCGCGAAAGCGUGGGGAGCGAACGGG